Molecule: unclassified non-coding RNA, 253 nt
Filed under: uncultured Planctomycetia bacterium
Lineage: Bacteria; Pseudomonadati; Planctomycetota; Planctomycetia
Description: contains 16S-23S intergenic spacer region
Rfam family: Bacterial small subunit ribosomal RNA
Source: RNAcentral
GACGAACUGUGCAAACGUUAUUCGGAAUCACUGGGCUUAAAGAGCGCGUAGGCGGCGCUGUAAGUUGGAGGUGAAAUCCCACGGCUCAACCGUGGAACUGCCCCCAAUACUGCAGCGCUUGAGGAAGGUAGGGGUUUGCGGAACUUCCGGUGGAGCGGUGAAAUGUGUUGAGAUCGGAAGGAACGCCAGCGGCGAAAGCGGCAAACUGGAUCUUCUCUGACGCUGAGGCGCGAAAGCUAGGGGAGCGAACGGG